Molecule: ribosomal RNA, 309 nt
Filed under: Triticum aestivum (bread wheat)
Lineage: Eukaryota; Viridiplantae; Streptophyta; Magnoliopsida; Poales; Poaceae
Description: partial small subunit ribosomal RNA
Source: RNAcentral
AUGGCCUACAAGAACUGUUGUAAAUGUUCCAUUCCAGACUAUUGGCAACAAGUGUCUCAGGGCUUCAGGAAGUUCUUGAGAGGGUGGAAGGCAAAUGAUGCUACUGACAAUAGAAGAAGUAAAUCCAAUCCCUGCUUUAGCCUUGCUGCUUAUUCACUGGCAAUCCAACCAUACCAUUCUUGUCUAUCAGGAUCAGUUUUUCCCUCAAGUCACCUUAACAUGCUUCUUUCUUUCCUUCACUAUGCAGAUACAAAACUAGGUUGCGGACGCAUAAAGCCACUGAUACUAUUGGUCAGAAGUAUGAUUUGA